CUCGCCAUGUAUGGCGCUUCCUCCCCGUGCCCUACAAGGCACUUCCUCCCGGUUCUAGGCCCAUACAAGGCCCUUCCUUCCCGGAGCGUCUGGCAGACGGCCCGCGGGCGGCUGUGGGCGGGAGCCAGCGGCCAGGGGAUCCGCUGCCAAGGAGGGGGCGGCUGGCGGCGCUGGGAACGCGCGGCCUGGCCUCUUCGCGGCCGGGCCUGGCUGAGGAACCAGCAAGUCCUCACAGGCCCUUCCAACAGCACCUCCAGAGAUUAAACGUGGUCCAACCAAGUGGUUACCCUCAUCUACCUGCCUGGAGAUGAGCACAGGUCUGAGUGAGGGACCAGACCUCAGUACAGACCAAACCAGCAGCAGCAGCUAAAAUGCCACCCUCCAGCUCUUCAGAAGUACGACACAUCAUCAGCUGCAGGCUUUCUGUUGGACGAACCUGUGAGACCCCGACUCUUCUGCUUCAGGUGCUGGAUCAAUUACAGGGAUCUUGUACAGAGUCCAAGGGAGCUCCUUUUAUCCACUCUGAACUGUAGUUGUGCUCGGUUGACCAGUCAAAAUGCUGUGUUGGGAGGACAGAAUUGCUAGAUGGGUGCCUUCCAGAUGAAUCUGAGCUGUUGGUUGUCUCUGAAAGCACAAGGGUUGGUGAGGAAUAAAUCAGAAGAUGACCAGAAAAACCAGCCCCUACUUUCUUUGAAAUCACACUACAUUUUGAGACCACGUAUGGGAAUUCACUAAACCAGGAGCUGCCACCAGACCAUAAUGAUUCUAUCUAAAAAUGGUUUGUUUUCAAAGAGAAAAAAAGACCCAGAAAAGCACAGGGGAGUGUUUUUUAAUAAAUGCCCAGAAUUCUGUCAA
Long non-coding RNA from Suricata suricatta (meerkat), 855 nucleotides. RefSeq lists it as uncharacterized. NCBI's taxonomy places the organism in Eukaryota, Metazoa, Chordata, Mammalia, Carnivora, Herpestidae. The transcript is spliced from 4 exons. The record is from RefSeq and is a predicted model, not a curated record.